Molecule: ribosomal RNA, 456 nt
Filed under: uncultured Ascomycota
Lineage: Eukaryota; Fungi; Ascomycota
Description: eukaryotic LSU rRNA
Rfam family: 5.8S ribosomal RNA (bases 125-269)
Source: RNAcentral
CAUUACAAAUCUCGAGUUGGUUCCUCCCGCUAGGGGGGGGCUGGCACAUUAGCACAAGGCCGCGAGGCCUUGAUGUUUACGCUUGUAAGUUUGACAGAGUUUAAAUUGUGACCUUAAAAAUGACAACUUUUAACAACGGAUCUCUUGGCUCUUGCAACGAUGAAGAGCGCAGUAAAGUGCGAUAUGUAGUGCGAUUUGCAUGAAUCUGUGAGUCAUCUAAUCUUUGAACGCAACUUGCGCCUCUCUGAGGCAUGUCUGUUUGAGUGCCGCAUACUCUAUGCAGCAAUGCGAUUUGGUCCGUGUCUGCGCACUGCUACCACUAGCUGGUGGGUGGUGGGUGGACUGGGUCUAAAUGUAGCCAGAUAAUGGUCUGUGAGACUAGCCCGAGUGCUAAGCAUUCUUGGGCCUAGGCUCCACUUGCCACAAUCUAUCUAUCUAUUUGGCCUCAAAUCAGGC